RNAcentral lists this ribosomal RNA (544 nucleotides) under Stemphylium vesicarium. RNAcentral's name for it is "eukaryotic LSU rRNA". The stretch from base 181 to 334 matches the Rfam family "5.8S ribosomal RNA". The record is from RNAcentral. Lineage: Eukaryota; Fungi; Ascomycota; Dothideomycetes; Pleosporales; Pleosporaceae.
ACUACACAUAUGAAAGCGGGGUUGGGGACCUCACCUCGGUGAGGGCUCCAGCUUGUCUGAAUUAUUCACCCAUGUCUUUUGCGCACUUCUUGUUUCCUGGGCGGGUUCGCCCGCCACCAGGACCAAACCAUAAACCUUUUUGUAAUUGCAAUCAGCGUCAGUAAACAAUGUAAUUAUUACAACUUUCAACAACGGAUCUCUUGGUUCUGGCAUCGAUGAAGAACGCAGCGAAAUGCGAUACGUAGUGUGAAUUGCAGAAUUCAGUGAAUCAUCGAAUCUUUGAACGCACAUUGCGCCCUUUGGUAUUCCAAAGGGCAUGCCUGUUCGAGCGUCAUUUGUACCCUCAAGCUUUGCUUGGUGUUGGGCGUCUUUGUCUCUCACGAGACUCGCCUUAAAAUGAUUGGCAGCCGACCUACUGGUUUCGGAGCGCAGCACAAUUCUUGCACUUUGAAUCAGCCUUGGUUGAGCAUCCAUCAAGACCACAUUUUUUUCAACUUUUGACCUCGGAUCAGGUAGGGAUACCCGCUGAACUUAAGCAUAUAUU